CUACCACUUUCCCUAUCGUCUGCCUCUACAUGACUAUAAAAAUGUUGAUGUCCACCCUGAUUGAGGAGAGCUGAGACUACCACACGCCACCUCCAACACGUGUGCAGUACCGACUGCAUCUUUUCACCUGCAUGAGACAGAUUAACUUGAGCACAGACACAGAGAACUUCAGUAGGGGCUCAAAUCGACAUCGUCCUCCAUUUUUUUCAACAAGCUUGCAAGACAAUUUAUCAGCUCAAGAACUUAUUAUGACAACGUGGAGAAACAGAAUGAGUGGCAUAGGCCCACAGGUAACGCCCGUCAUGGCAGCUGUGUUGUUACAGCUUUAGGUCAGAGUUAGGGUGAAGAUAAAUGCGUGGGCUCAGUGUGGUCUCAGUGUAGCUAUAAUUACAGACUAUUCAGAGCAAAAUCAAGCCAGAACUGCAACCUAUGUACGCUACAUCAUCUAGAUCUCAAACACAGGGCUGUUAUAUGUAUGACACCUUAGGGAUCUUGCUUCAGCACUAAUAAAAUUAACUAUAUAAGAAUGUAUUAAUAUUAUUAAUCUUUAAAAAACGAUUAAAAA
Molecule: long non-coding RNA, 565 nt
Organism: Trichomycterus rosablanca
Lineage: Eukaryota; Metazoa; Chordata; Actinopteri; Siluriformes; Trichomycteridae
Exons: 3
Source: RefSeq, a predicted model, not a curated record